RNAcentral lists this ribosomal RNA (237 nucleotides) under uncultured bacterium. RNAcentral's name for it is "partial 16S ribosomal RNA". It matches the Rfam family "Bacterial small subunit ribosomal RNA", at positions 99 to 334 of the family's 1533-position model. The record is from RNAcentral.
CGAACGGGUGAGUAACGCGUGAGGAACCUGCCUCGAAGAGGGGGACAACAGUUGGAAACGACUGCUAAUACCGCAUAAGCCCACGGGUCGGCAUCGACCUGAGGGAAAAGGAGCAAUCCGCUUUGAGAUGGCCUCGCGUCCGAUUAGCUAGUUGGUGAGGUAAUGGCCCACCAAGGCGACGAUCGGUAGCCGGACUGAGAGGUUGAACGGCCACAUUGGGACUGAGACACGGCCCAG